UUAAGAAUAUAUCACUCUCACCUACCAAAUCAUAAACAUUUUUUAACUUGCAAAUGGCAGGUAUAAGUAGUAUUUUCUCAUUCUCAUCCAUGAGAGGAUCUUCUUCUUCUUCUUCCAAGCUUCGACCAUGGCGAAAAUGUUCGAAGCACAUUCGGCAGCAAAAGACACGGCUUUACAUUAUUUGGAGAUGCACUGUCUUACUCUUGUGCUGGCAUGAGUAAACAAGCAAUGUAUGUGUCAUGUUCUUGGCGCCACUGCAUAUAUAUAGUUAGUCAUGUGUUGAUUAACCUUACCUUAAUUACCAAAUUAGACUCAAUAAAAUAAAUUUACAAAUAGAUGGCUUCUUUUGUUCUUGUGAUGGAGUUAGAUGAAGCAGGGGGAACCCUUUUGAAUGUGUAAAUUACAAACUAUAUUUUAGUAUCAUGUUUAAGAUACCUAAUCUAAACUAAGUUUAUCAAUCGAUGCUCAGCCUCAUGCCUCAGUUUGAUUCAUUAUUAUACCGAUGUGGACAAUCUUUUUUGUAAAGUUCACUCGUUUCUUCUUUUACUUCUAUGAUAAAUAAAUUGAAGUAAAUGUAACUUCUAGAGAUUAAUUAUUGUGAUCAUGGGAAACUUUUGUUGCCU
Molecule: long non-coding RNA, 623 nt
Filed under: Medicago truncatula (barrel medic)
Lineage: Eukaryota; Viridiplantae; Streptophyta; Magnoliopsida; Fabales; Fabaceae
Description: long non-coding RNA (MTRU_LNC005528)
Source: RNAcentral